RNAcentral lists this long non-coding RNA (1919 nucleotides) under Sorghum bicolor (sorghum). RNAcentral describes it as "long non-coding RNA (SBIC_LNC008329)". Lineage: Eukaryota; Viridiplantae; Streptophyta; Magnoliopsida; Poales; Poaceae. The record is from RNAcentral.
GUAACAUUUAUUGAGGAGGCUCAACAUGAUAAAGGCUAGAUAUUUAUGCUAACACUUAACCAGUUCCACAAAGCUUUGUUGUCUAUUUGAGCUCCACAGAAUUCAAGGAUGAAAGAAGACUAUCAGAUGGAGGACAUCCUAAUCGCUGUCAGGGUGCUACCGACAUUCAAAUACACCUCCGCCACCUGCUAGCUACAUCAGAAGAAAUUGCGUCAAAAUCCAGCUUGGGGGAGAGCACCCCCAUUUUAUCCAGCUAAGUGUUCUACUCAUGUUUAUAAAUUACUCAAAUAAUAAAAAGUUGCAUAAUCAUAAAACCCAAAUAAGGAUUGUGUGCUUAUAUAUAUAUCUUUGCUUAGUUUGCUAAAUAAAUAAAUAAAUAAAGUUUGCUAUGAACCCUCAUGAUAAGCUCUCACAUGGAAAUGAUGAAUAGUUGCUCUGCCAUGACUAGUUCUCAAAAUUGAAAUCUCUCUCAAGUUUAGGCAUGACUGUUAUUAAUUAAGAUUUGCUCUAAACCUAAACUUGUGGGAAGAGUACUUGAUCUAUAGUCUAAGUCGUUAACAGAUAUGAUAUGGUAAGGUUGAGCUACUGUUUAUCUAUUCCUAGAGAUGCUAGAAUUCUGGAGAAUUUUAUCUUUGAAAAUCUUUAAAAUGUUACAUGAUGAGUUCCUGUAUGAUGAGAGUUUAAAUUCCUACCAUAGCCAUAUAUACAUGCUUGCUAAGACUUUGAGCCGCACAUUUACUUUUUACUGCUUACGAGCAUUGAGUGUGGUCAAGCUGUGUAGACCCUUAGGAGCUUGUCAUGUGGUUAAAUCAAGAUUCACUUGCACGUUCACUCAUACAUGCUGCUUCUACUCCGGAAGUACGCAUCCACAUACAUCCACUCAUUUCCAUAUCCAGAUCCAUCCAAAAUUAUACUACUUCUAUCUAGGAGAGAAUAGCCAAAAAUAAUAUCCUAUCCCUGUUAUUCCCCGUGAAAUAAAUGCUCGAUAUAUUUUGGUUACUACCACUUGCUACAUUAUUCCAUGAGGGUGAGUGCUCUGAAAAAAAAGUGAAUACAAGGAAAUAAAAAGGGACAAGUGCCCGGAACCUCAAAAAAAAUAAAAAGUGAGACAAGAGGUAAAAAUGGACAAGUGUCCGACAGUAGAAUUAGGGGUACAAGAUACCCGCCUGAGAGAAAAGAAAAAGAAAAUAUAGAGUAUCUCAUUCUCCUCAAAAAGUUUCAAAAGAGCAAGAAAGGUAUGUAUCCCCUCAAAAGAGCAUAAGUAGAAUUAGAUUUUCACUAUUGUUAUCACCAUCAUCACCAUACACCAUUCAUUCACCACACAUGCACAUCUUGAUUUGACUUAUUGACUUGUUCUUCUAGAUCCAUGGUUUGACUAUGCAAUAAAUGUCUUGUAAGUAUGUAUUAGCUGUCUCCCACCUAUGAGCUCUAGAUAUCAAAACCUUAUUAGAGUAGGGUGAGAGAGAAGGCAAUGCCACUAUGCCUCAUACCAAAAAUACCACAUACUUUGAGAGAAGGCAUACACCAUUCCUGCCUUGAUAAGGAUCCAGAAAUACCACAAAAGAGAGACUAGAGAGAGUCAUACAAGGAAUCUCUGAGUUUUAUUUGAAAAUCUGCAAAAACUCCAGAGCUAUAGUUAAUCGAAGAACAAGAGACAUGGCGCUUGACUAGACCGUUCUAUCUCUCCAGAUAUCAAAACCUUAUUAGAGUAGGGUGAGAGAGAAGGCAAUGCCACUAUGCCUCAUACCAAAAAUACCACAUACUUUGAGAGAAGGCAUACACCAUUACUGCCUUGAUAAGGAUCCAGGAAUACCAAAAAGAGAGACUAGAGAGAGUCAUACAAGGAAUCUCUGAGUUUUAUUUGAAAAUCUGCAAAAACUCCAGAGCUAUAGUUAAUCGAAGAACAAGAGACAUGGCGC